AUAAUCUUCUCGUUGCGUUGGGUAGUUUCUUCUAUUUGGUCGGGCUUCUGUUUCUUCGACAUUUUCCUCAUUUCCAUUCUCAAUUUUAUCAAGGAUUUACUAUACUCAAAGAUUUUUUACUUUGCGGAAGCAACGUAAAAAAAGGAAUGGACAGCAAAUUUUCAUGUGAUUCUUGUAAAUUACAGUUAAGAUCAGUUAACAGAGAAAAUAAUGUCAAAAAC
This 221-nucleotide long non-coding RNA is filed under the name Mytilus galloprovincialis (Mediterranean mussel). The record is from RNAcentral. Lineage: Eukaryota; Metazoa; Mollusca; Bivalvia; Mytilida; Mytilidae.